RNAcentral lists this ribosomal RNA (245 nucleotides) under uncultured Eubacteriales bacterium. RNAcentral describes it as "uncultured Clostridiales bacterium partial 16S ribosomal RNA". It matches the Rfam family "Bacterial small subunit ribosomal RNA", at positions 796 to 1041 of the family's 1533-position model. The record is from RNAcentral. Lineage: Bacteria; Bacillati; Bacillota; Clostridia; Eubacteriales.
CACGCCGUAAACGAUGAGCACUAGGUGUCGGGGCCGCAAGGCUUCGGUGCCGCAGUUAACGCAUUAAGUGCUCCGCCUGGGGAGUACGUACGCAAGUAUGAAACUCAAAGGAAUUGACGGGGACCCGCACAAGCAGCGGAGCAUGUGGUUUAAUUCGAAGCAACGCGAAGAACCUUACCAGGGCUUGACAUCCCUCUGACCGGCCGGUAACGCGGCCUUCCCUUCGGGGCGGAGGAGACAGGUGG